AAUGAAAUGCCUGAUAAAAGGAUUAUUUUGAUAGAAUAAAUUAUACAUAUUUUUAUGUUUUCAUUA
Molecule: transfer RNA, 66 nt
Filed under: Tapinoma nigerrimum
Lineage: Eukaryota; Metazoa; Arthropoda; Insecta; Hymenoptera; Formicidae
Also listed under: 3 other names
Description: tRNA-Ile
Source: RNAcentral